CGUGCUUAUGAAUAAUUAUUAACAUUGUUUCAUCAUAGAUAGUUCAACGGUCUAAAGACCAGCAGAUCCGAAGAGAAUUAUUGACUCCCAUGAUGAUGAUGAGGCGAACUAACGUGGAUAAAAGAUUGUUCUUUGGAAGUGUAAUGUGGGGCCGGCGACAUGAUGGCGGAGUUCAUGUGCCGCCAAGGCGGGUAAAGGCUCGGGUUGUGGACGGCGGCGUUGCCGGUGGCAUGAUUUGGUUGGGCCAGAGUAACGUGGUUAAGUGCCAUGGAUUUUAGUGCCUCGUGCUGCCUUGUUCCAAUCCGUAUCUACAAUGCAUUGCCGGGUUGAUGAUAUAUAUGACUCUACCAAAUGAGUUGCAUGUGACGACAACUCGAUAGAGAUUGAUUAUACUCUCCUUGCAUUUUGGUUUAUGUGGUACUUGAAAAUUUUAGGUAUCAGUCCUGUCAUCUCGAGAUCGAUCGGCACCGUUCUGAAAGAUAAAGGAAAACGAAGUAGAAUUUUACUGCAAACGGAAGUCAGCAUCAUUCGUAGCAGACGUAAUUUGAAUGAGAAAGCCCCCGGAGAUGCUCAUUCCGAAGCUCCUGCAAGAUUUAUAUAGCCAUUUGGUGACUGAACUUUGGAGACGAAUAAGAACCAGGAUGCAUGUGCCAUGCAAAACUCACCGCUACAAAAAAGAAAAGAAGAAAAAUGAGUGAAGGACAAACGAGAGAUCAAAAGCUACUCCGGAUACUCGUACCUUCGGAAGCAACGGAACAUGAGACACAGCUCGCCUCUUCUUCUGCUUGG
RNAcentral lists this long non-coding RNA (789 nucleotides) under Musa acuminata (dwarf banana). RNAcentral describes it as "long non-coding RNA (MACU_LNC004461)". Lineage: Eukaryota; Viridiplantae; Streptophyta; Magnoliopsida; Zingiberales; Musaceae. The record is from RNAcentral.